This is a long non-coding RNA of Rosa chinensis, 1818 nucleotides long. RefSeq lists it as uncharacterized. NCBI's taxonomy places the organism in Eukaryota, Viridiplantae, Streptophyta, Magnoliopsida, Rosales, Rosaceae. The transcript has 3 exons. The record is from RefSeq and is a predicted model, not a curated record.
UAUCAUCUCCACCUGUCACAUACAAGACUGGGAAUAGAGAGAAAAUCUGACAAAACCCAGUAAGGGAGAGUGAAUAAAGCUAAUUAGAGACAAUUGGAGGGCAGGGGAAGCCAUCCGAUCCGUCUUCAGCACACGAAGCAAAGAGGGUGGUGGCAAGGAUGUCCAUCUGAGAAGACCCACCAUCCUUAAGGCAAGCAAUGCCGCUGCAUGAGCGACUGAAUUCGCUUAUCUGGGAAUCCAUUCCCAUCUGAUUUCAGAAAAGAAUUUACUCCUCCUCUUAAUUUCAGCGAUCAAGAGAUUCCACGAUCACUCUACCAGAAAGGAGUUGCUCUUGCUGAUGACGACCUGUGGGGAGACUAUCGUCCGAUUAAAGAUAAAAUCGCAACUGGCAGUCUAGAUCUUCCAACAAUAGACACUAAUCACAUUGUUUCAAGAAUAGCACUCACGAAACAGAGGAAGAUAUUGAAUCCGGCCAGCUAUGAUCAGAAAGUUCAGAAACUCCACCAUCACAUGCAGGAGCCAAGUAACAAUGUCAAUGUUGAUGCACAAACAGCAUAGCAGGAUUGGAACCAAUGCUAUGAAACUUUCGAAUAUCAAAUGGAAGUUGUUAAUGGAUCGAACUGGCAGCUGUAUUGGUGAUCAGUGUAGUAUUUGCCAGGAGAAGUUUGACGAAGAUGAGUGCGUGAUGCUUCGCAAGUGUAAGCAUGCAUAUCACCGUAAAUGCUUUAUAUAUAUAUAUAUAUGUAUAAAUGCCUCAUUUGCAUCUUUAGAUAUAUUAUUAUGUGUCACGUUUAGGCUGCUGCUUCUUUUAUUCAUUAUUUUGUAAUUGUUUCAGCUCUGUGCUCUUUUUGAGUACCUUGCUUCAUUUUUUUCUCAGAGAUGUUUUAGUUCUUGUCCCCCUCUCUUUUUUUGUACUUUCUUUUCUUUUUGUUAGUAAAAUAAAAUAGAGGGACGGACGGUGGCGGGUUCCCGGUUGCGACGGUCCCCUUUCUUUAUUGAUUGUGGGUGGGUGCUAGUCAUCCCAAAUCGGCUAUCGCAGAGGAACUAAUAUCGCAUAAUCCUCUAUUUAAUUAAAAAAUACAUCAAUAUAUUAACAUUGUCCCCUUCAAGAACAUCAAACCCCUCACCAUGGCUACUUUAAUGCGUUGUUUCUCUGUUAUGCGAUCACCAGUGUGUAAUGAUGAUGAAGAUGGGGGAAGAUACAGCUACGUACUCUUUUCUUUUUGGUGAACCUCGAUGAAAACAGGAGUAUCUCUUCAAAUAGAAAGAAGUAAAUUAUAUAGAGGGGAACUGUAUCAAAUCUGUCGACAACAUCAAUAAAAACGGAAAUUAAGAAGACUCAUUUGGUCCAGAUAAUAAAAACUAUGAAUGAUAGGUAGAGCCAAAUCCCACCAAAUAACUAACUCUGAGGAAGUAGUUCCAUAAUCUACUAAUACAUCCUCGGUUUGAUUCUCUUCACGAAAUAUACAAGUAGAUACGUGCUUCUUAUAGUAUUAAAUUGAUAAAUAAUGAUAAAAAAAUUUCAAACAUGGUGAGCUGUGACUUGUUAGUUAAUUAUAACUCAAAUAUUGUAAAAGUCAUGAAUUCAAUUCUCACUAGCAUAUGUAAAGGUGGGGAGGGCUAAGAGUUUUAAGGAAAAAAAAAUGAAAGUACUGUUUUGCUGGACUUCUAGUAUUUGUAGUAUAUCUCAAAUGGUGUCCUAUAUGUAUUUGAACUAUACAUCCAGUAGGGUUUGUUAUAUGUCGAUCAGGUAUGUUGUUGUUUUACAUUUACUCAAUUUUGAUCAAAAUCCUUCCUUUUUAUACCCUGCAUAUAUGU